Molecule: long non-coding RNA, 1018 nt
Filed under: Pan troglodytes (chimpanzee)
Lineage: Eukaryota; Metazoa; Chordata; Mammalia; Primates; Hominidae
Description: long non-coding RNA NONPTRT016984
Source: RNAcentral
ACAGAGUGUCAUUGCUCAAUUUGGUUUGAUGCAGGUGAAAGAACUGACCAGACUUUGAGUUUCUCUCUCACUCCAAGGUUUUUAGCUUCUUUCCACAGUGCUAGAAGGUAUGAAUAUGGAGAGCCAGUUAGCAUCAAAGUGCAGUUAGGCUGGGCCUGGUGGUGUGUGCCUGUAGUCUCAUCUAGUUGGGAGGUUGAGGCAGAACAAUCGCUUGAGGCCCCCUCCCCAUUUUUUCCAGCCUCCUUGCCGCAAUGCCUAUGCGCAUGUCCGUAAUCCCAACUACUUGGGAGGCUGAGGCAGGAGAAUUGCUUGAGCCCAGGAGGUGGAGGUUGCAGUGAGCUGAGAUGGCACUACUGCCCUCUAGCCUGGGUGACAGAGAGAGAGAGACUGUCUCAAAAACAACAACAACAAGAAAGUCACCGUAGAAUUACAGAGAUGUGUAUGACCAGUGUCUUAGUCCAUUCCAGCUGCCGUAACAAAAUACCUUAGACCAGGUAAUUUAUAAACUACAGAAAUUUAUUGCUCACAGCUCUGGAGGCUUGGAAGUCCAAAAUUAAGGCAUCAGCACAUUCAGUGCCUGGUGAGGGCCUGGACUUCAUAGAUGGCUCUUUCUAUGUGUCCCACAUGGCAGCAGGGUAAGGGAGACAAGCCUCUUUUAUAAGGGCAUUAAUCCCAUUCAUGAGCCCUUAUGAUCUCAUCACCUCCCAAGGAUACUUUCUCUUGAUAUUUUCAUAGUGAUGAUAAAGUUUCAACACAUCAAACAGCAACAUUAAGACCACAGCAAUUGGUCUAUGCAAUUUAGGCAUGUGUAUUUUAGCUGAAAACUUGAGAAUGGCAGCAGGAAACAAGCCAGGAAGGGACUGUGGAUCAAGAAACAGUGGGAUCCUGGGGGUAAUGGACAGGGAAAGCCCCAGGGAGGUUGUGUCUGCACCUGGUAUUGAAGGCCUGGCAGGAUGUCAAGGUGCAUGGGUAGGCAGAGAGUUGGCAGGAAGCAUAAAGAAAGGCUUGAGUUGAGAAG